UACGGGGGGAGCAAGCGUUGUUCGGAUUUACUGGGCGUAAAGGGCGCGUAGGCGGCCACCGCAAGUCGACUGUGAAAUCUCCGGGCUUAACCCGGAAAGGUCAGCCGAUACUGCGGGGCUAGAGUGCAGAAGGGGCAACUGGAAUUCUCGGUGUAGCGGUGAGAUGCGUAGAUAUCGAGAGGAACACCUGCGGCGAAGGCGGGUUGCUGGGCUGACACUGACGCUGAUGCGCGAAAGCUAGGGGAGCGAACGGG
RNAcentral lists this ribosomal RNA (254 nucleotides) under uncultured bacterium. Its description in RNAcentral is "partial 16S ribosomal RNA". It matches the Rfam family "Bacterial small subunit ribosomal RNA", at positions 524 to 776 of the family's 1533-position model. The record is from RNAcentral.